RNAcentral lists this long non-coding RNA (229 nucleotides) under Homo sapiens (human). Its description in RNAcentral is "HSALNT0184002". Lineage: Eukaryota; Metazoa; Chordata; Mammalia; Primates; Hominidae. The record is from RNAcentral.
GUCCCAACACUGUUGCAUAGGGAAUUAAGUUUCCAACCACGAACUUUAGGGGAUACAUUCAAACCAUAACAAUGACUGAAAGGGCAUCUGAUUUCAGCUUACUAAAAGACUACCUGACGUUAAGAGCAAUGCUUUCUUUGAAAAGAAUUAUAGACUGUGGGCUGUGCCAAUGCUCCUAGACAUCCAUUAUUUAAUAAGCUCCUUGUUAUUGCCACAAGUUAUGUGUUAA